Long non-coding RNA from Juglans microcarpa x Juglans regia, 295 nucleotides. RefSeq lists it as uncharacterized. The record is from RefSeq and is a predicted model, not a curated record. The transcript is spliced from 3 exons. NCBI's taxonomy places the organism in Eukaryota, Viridiplantae, Streptophyta, Magnoliopsida, Fagales, Juglandaceae.
UCAGUGAAGGAUUAUUGUCAGCGAAAGAUAUGAAGGUUCUAAAGAAAAAAAAAGUCAUGUGCAUUCAGUCUUCAAGAUUCAAGGAGCGAUCGUGCAUGCAACUAUCAUUAUAGAAAAUUGUGAAUGGUGAUUCUGAAGUAAACUGCAGCAUAGCAGAUUGGUGUUUGUCGAGAUGGAAAUAUCAAAUAUCCCACAAGUAUAAGGGCAUUGAUGCAAUCUUGUAAGGAGAUGUUCUGCCCACCCCUCAUGCCCAGGUGCAUAUUGUUAUAUCUAACUAGAUAUAAUUUUUAAAGAU